CCUACGGGUGGCAGCAGUGGGGAAUAUUGCGCAAUGGGCGAAAGCCUGAAGCAGCAACGCCGCGUGAGGGAUGAAGGUCUUCGGAUCGUAAACCUCUGUCGGCAGGGAAGAAAGUUCCCUUUUCUAAUCAGCAAUGAAUUGACGUUACCGGCACAGGAAGCACCGGCUAACUCCGGGCCAGCAGCCGCGGUAAUACGGAGGGUGCGAGCGUUAAUCGGAAUUGCUGGGCGGAAAGAGCUCGUAGGCGGUAUGUCAAGUCAGAGGUGAAAUCCCCGGGCUAAACCUGGGAACUGCAUUUGAGACUGGUAGACUGGAGUGUGGGAGAGGGAAGUGGAAUUCUAGGUGUAGGGGUGAAAUCCGUAGAGAUCGGGAGGAAUAUCCGGGGCGAAGGCGACUAGCUGGAACAUAACUGACGCUGAGGAGCGAAAGCGUGGGGAGCAAACAGGAUUAGAUACCCCUGUAGUC
RNAcentral lists this ribosomal RNA (465 nucleotides) under uncultured bacterium. RNAcentral describes it as "partial 16S ribosomal RNA". It matches the Rfam family "Bacterial small subunit ribosomal RNA", at positions 338 to 795 of the family's 1533-position model. The record is from RNAcentral.